This 107-nucleotide small nuclear RNA is filed under the name Propithecus coquereli (Coquerel's sifaka). Lineage: Eukaryota; Metazoa; Chordata; Mammalia; Primates; Indriidae. The record is from RNAcentral.
AUGUUCACUUCAGCAACAUAUAUACUAAAAUUGGAACAACACAGAGAAGACUAACAUGGCCCCUGCACAGGGGUGACGUCCAGAUUCAUGAAGUGUUCCAUAUUUAA